Molecule: long non-coding RNA, 543 nt
Organism: Mauremys reevesii (Reeves's turtle)
Lineage: Eukaryota; Metazoa; Chordata; Testudines; Geoemydidae
Exons: 2
Source: RefSeq, a predicted model, not a curated record
AUUAAUCUUGUGAGAUGAGGUUUUCUGAGAAGGAUACUUGAGAGGAAGGGGGAAUGGCUUAGCUCAAUCCCUGAAGGUCACAGCAUUGAUAAACACACACUGGAGAUGAAUUCAGAGGUGUCUGUGUACAUUGGAUUGGUUGAGGGAGCUGGUAACUGAAGACCAGAGAAGAGAAGAAGCUGCUAUUGAAUGCUUAUCUGUUUCCUUUAGAAAUGUGAGGUGCUGGUUAAGAGACUCAGAUAAACUCCCUCUGUGUUGGCUAAGCACUCGCAGCCCUAACCUUCCUGCAGAACUGUCCUUCACAUAUCUGGCUGCUGUCCUGAAAUCAUCCCGACCAAGGUAAUUGGACAGAAUGCUGUUAACCCUUGAUACCAGAGACUCUCAAAAACUAACUCCAUACACGCUGGUGCCAAGGAGCUAGCAGAGUUCAAACGGUCUGAAUCCGAAUGCUCUACAAGUUACCUCCUGUAGGGUGUUUGCAUUAAUCAUUGCUGGACUCCUGCAUGUCUUUGCAUUAAAAUGUGUUGUGGCUGUUUACCCCUG